UACGUAGGGUGCAAGCGUUGUCCGGAAUCAUUGGGCGUAAAGCGCGCGUAGGUGGUCCCGUAAGUCCGCUGUGAAAGUCAAAGGCUCAACCUUUGAAAGCCGGUGGAUACUGUGGGACUAGAGUACGGAAGAGGCGAGUGGAAUUCCUGGUGUAGCGGUGGAAUGCGCAGAUAUCAGGAGGAACACCAAUAGCGAAGGCAGCUCGCUGGGACGUUACUGACACUGAGGCGCGAAAGCCAGGGGAGCGAACGGG
RNAcentral lists this ribosomal RNA (253 nucleotides) under uncultured bacterium. Its description in RNAcentral is "partial 16S ribosomal RNA". It matches the Rfam family "Bacterial small subunit ribosomal RNA", at positions 524 to 776 of the family's 1533-position model. The record is from RNAcentral.